Long non-coding RNA from Salvia miltiorrhiza (redroot sage), 467 nucleotides. RefSeq lists it as uncharacterized. Lineage: Eukaryota; Viridiplantae; Streptophyta; Magnoliopsida; Lamiales; Lamiaceae. The transcript has 3 exons. The record is from RefSeq and is a predicted model, not a curated record.
CCCCCACCACUACAUUCUUUCUCCCACUCUCACAACUUUUCUCCCACCAUUAUCACACUCCAUAGAAGCCUUUGAAGCCCCAAGAGAAGUAGCAAAGCAAGGGAGAGUGUGGGAAAACUAUAGAGUGAAGGUUGUGCUUCGAGGGUCCGGGCGACAGAAAGUGAAGCCGAAGAAGAAACGACUCCACGCCAGCUUUAAGAACAAUUGAGGUUGAGCAGGCGAUGGAAUGGAUCGGUGUUGAGCGGAUUUCCCUUUUGAUGUUUAUGUAAUGAAACCUUGAGUAUGCAUCUCCAUAUGCAUAACUCACACGUUUUUUCGCUGCAAACACUCUGACUUAUUUAUCAUUUCUACUUGAACUUAUUACUACUUCAUUUUAAUUAACUUUCAGUUGGGGUCUAGUCGUUAUGGCAGACUCAUUUGUGAAUUACCCAAGUGGUUAUAUAUAUAUACCACUAGUUUGUUAUUAA